GUGGGGAAUAUUGGACAAUGGGGGCAACCCUGAUCCAGCCAUGCCGCGUGAGUGAUGAAGGCCUUCGGGUUGUAAAGCUCUUUUGGCGGGGACGAUGAUGACGGUACCCGCAGAAUAAGCCCCGGCUAACUUCGUGCCAGCAGCCGCGGUAAGACGAAGGGGGCUAGCGUUGUUCGGAAUUACUGGGCGUAAAGCGCGUGUAGGCGGUUGUUCAAGUCAGGUGUGAAAGCCUUGAGCUCAACUCAAGAAAUGCACUUGAUACUGGAUGACUAGAGGACCGGAGAGGAUAGUGGAAUUCCCAGUGUAGUGGUGAAAUACGUAGAGAUUGGGAAGAACACCAGUGGCGAAGGCGGCUAUCUGGACGGUUUCUGACGCUAAGACGCGAAAGCGUGGGGAGCAAACAGGAUUAGAAACCCCUGUAGUCC
This 425-nucleotide ribosomal RNA is filed under the name uncultured bacterium. RNAcentral's name for it is "bacterial SSU rRNA". It matches the Rfam family "Bacterial small subunit ribosomal RNA", at positions 354 to 796 of the family's 1533-position model. The record is from RNAcentral.